RNAcentral lists this small RNA (202 nucleotides) under Sphingomonas sp. RNAcentral describes it as "Manganese sequence". The stretch from base 8 to 168 matches the Rfam family "Manganese Mn2+ riboswitch aptamer (yybP-ykoY)". Rfam says of the family: This RNA was originally discovered in E. coli during a large scale screen and was named SraF. The family was later found to exist upstream of related families of protein genes in many bacteria, including the the yybP and ykoK genes in B. subtilis. The record is from RNAcentral. Lineage: Bacteria; Pseudomonadati; Pseudomonadota; Alphaproteobacteria; Sphingomonadales; Sphingomonadaceae.
CCCUUUGUUGGGGAGUAGCUUUCGGCUCUGAAGCCGAGAUCGCGUCAACAUACUUGCGCUUCGGCGCAUGGCGCGAUCAGCGAACCUAGUUCGCCUUGCGAGACCAGCGUGCAUCGGACCCGCACCGGCCGGGACCGAUGCCGCUGUCGCUCGUCCGGUGAGGUUCGUGAAUGUCCCCUUUCGGUAUCGUCGCGCUUUCGCU